This is a long non-coding RNA of Betta splendens (Siamese fighting fish), 315 nucleotides long. RefSeq lists it as uncharacterized. Lineage: Eukaryota; Metazoa; Chordata; Actinopteri; Anabantiformes; Osphronemidae. The transcript has 5 exons. The record is from RefSeq and is a predicted model, not a curated record.
GUCUGUCUUUCCAGUGGACAAAGGUUUAUUAGGAGAAGGAGACGAGGGAACCAGGAGAUGAGCAACGAGACAACCAAUCUGGACCAAGAGCCGGCAUUCCAAGCAGCCCGGACCUAAGCUGUCAAACCGAUCGCAGGAACCACAGCUGCACAAUUACGUUCAGUGCAGCUGUGGAGGCUGGAGAACUGUGACAACAGAGACCAUAGGACCACCUGGAGAGAAGUUGUCACCUGUGUCUAUGGAGGCUCAAUGCAAUAACAUCCUGCAGCUCUUCGCUCUCUCCAGCCUCUGGUCCAGACAGAGGGGAGCCUCCCA